UACCUGCAGCUCAAGUGGUGACCGUUAUUAUUGGGCCUAAAACGUUCGUAGCCGGUUUAUUAAAUGCCUGGGUAAAUCGUGUAGCUUAACUAUACGAAUUCCGGGUAGACUGAUAGACUUGAGACUGGGAGAAGCUAGAGGUACCCCUGGGGUAGAGGUGAAAUUCUGUAAUCCUAGGGGGACCACCGGUGGCGAAGGCGUCUAGCUAGAACGGGUCUGACGGUGAGGAGCGAAGCCCUGGGGCGCAAACGGGAUUAGAUACCCCGGUAGUCCAGGGUGUAAACGCUGCUUGCUUGAUGUUAGUUGGGCCCCGAGCCCAAUUAGUGUCGGAGCGAAGGUGUUAAGCAAGCUGCCUGGGAAGUACGAUCGCAAGAUUGAAACUUAAAGGAAUUGGUGGGGGAGCACAGCAACGGGUGGAGCGUGCGGUUU
RNAcentral lists this ribosomal RNA (429 nucleotides) under uncultured archaeon. RNAcentral describes it as "bacterial SSU rRNA". It matches the Rfam family "Archaeal small subunit ribosomal RNA", at positions 474 to 903 of the family's 1478-position model. The record is from RNAcentral.